UCUGGUAGCAAUAGCGAGUGGGAACCACCUGAAACCAUUUCGAACUCAGUAGUGAAACGACUCAGCGCCGAUGAUAGUGUGGGAGAUCCCAUGUGAAAGUAGGACACUGCCAGGC
This 115-nucleotide ribosomal RNA is filed under the name Candidatus Berkiella aquae. Lineage: Bacteria; Pseudomonadati; Pseudomonadota; Gammaproteobacteria; Candidatus Berkiellales; Candidatus Berkiellaceae. The record is from RNAcentral.